RNAcentral lists this ribosomal RNA (406 nucleotides) under uncultured bacterium. Its description in RNAcentral is "partial 16S ribosomal RNA". It matches the Rfam family "Bacterial small subunit ribosomal RNA", at positions 30 to 526 of the family's 1533-position model. The record is from RNAcentral.
AUUGAACGCUGGCGGCAGGCCUAACACAUGCAAGUCGAACGAGUGGCGGACGGGUGAGUAAUGUCUGGGAAACUGCCUGAUGGAGGGGGAUAACUACUGGAAACGGUAGCUAAUACCGCAUACCAUCGGAUGUUCCCAGAUGGGAUGAGCUAGUAGGUGGGGUAAAGGCUCACCUGGGCGACGAUCCCUAGCUGGUCUGAGAGGAUGACCAGCCACACUGGAACGGAGACACGGUCCAGACUCCUACGGGAGGCAGCAGUGGGGAAUAUUGCACAAUGGGCGAAAGCCUGAUGCAGCCAUGCCGCGUGGAUGAAGAAGGGUUGCGGGUUGUAAAGUUCUUUCAGCGGGGAGGCGUUACCUGAAGAAGAAGCCCCGGCUAACUCCGUGCAAGCCGCCGCGGUAAUAC